GCAUGUCUAAGUAUGAACGCUUCGUACUGUGAAACUGCGAAUGGCUCAUUAAAUCAGUUAUAGUUUAUUUGAUGGUUGUUUGCUACAUGGAUAACCGUGGUAAUUCUAGAACUAAUACAUGCAGAAGGUCCCGACUUCUGGGAGGGACGUAUUUAUUAGAUCCAAAACCAGCGCGGGUUGCUCUCGGGCUCCCGGUACCUGGGUGAUUCAUGAUAACUUCUCGAAUCGCACGGCCUUCGCGCCGGCGAUGGUCCAUUCAAAUUUUUGCCCUAUCAACUUUCGAUGGUACGGUAGUGGCCUACCAUGGUUGCAACGGGUGACGGAGAAUUAGGGUUCGAUUCCGGAGAGGGAGCCUGAGAAACGGCUACCACAUCCGAGGAAGGCAGCAGGCGCGCAAAUUACCCAAUCCCGACUCGGGGAGGUAGUGACAAUAAAUAACAAUGCCGGGCUCUUGUAGUCUGGCAAUUGGAAUGAGUCCAAUCUAAAUCCCUUAACGAGGAACAAUUGGAGGGCAAGUCUGGUGCCAGCAGCCGCGGUAAUUCCAGCUCCAAUAGCGUAUAUUAAAGUUGUUGCAGUUAAAAAGCUCGUAGUUGGAUUUCGGGGCGGCCCGGCCGGUCCGCCGCAAGGCGAGCACUGGUCGGGCGCCCUUCCUCUCGAAGGCUUCGACUGCUCUUGAUUGUUGUGGUCGAGGAGUUCGGGACGUUUACUUUGAAAAAAUUAGAGUGUUCAAGGCAGGCCGUGGCCUGAAUACAUUAGCAUGGAAUAAUGGAAGAGGACCUCGGUCCUAUUUUGUUGGUUUCCAGGGCCGAAGUAAUGAUUGAGAGGGACAGUUGGGGGCAUUCGUAUUUAAUUGUCAGAGGUGAAAUUCUCGGAUUUAUGAAAGACGAACAAGUGCGAAAGCAUUUGCCAAGGAUGUUUUCAUUAAUCAAGAACGAAAGUUGGGGGUUCGAAGACGAUCAGAUACCGUCGUAGUCCCAACCAUAAACUAUGCCGACUAGGGAUCGGCGGAUGUUAGUGUUUGACUCCGUCGGCACCUUUCGAGAAAUCAAGAGUCUUUGGGUUCCGGGGGGAGUAUGGUCGCAAGGCUGAAACUUAAAGGAAUUGACGGAAGGGCACCACCAGGAGUGGAGCCUGCGGCUUAAUUUGACUCAACACGGGGAAACUCACCAGGUCCGGACAUGGUAAGGAUUGACAGAUCGAGAGCUCUUUCUUGAUUCUAUGGGUGGUGGUGCAUGGCCGUUCUUAGUUGGUGGAGUGAUUUGUCUGGUUAAUUCCGAUAACGAACGAGACCUUAACCUGCUAACUAGUCACGUCGUUCCAGAACGACGGUCGACUUCUUAGAGGGACAACC
Molecule: ribosomal RNA, 1351 nt
Filed under: Racodiscula seymoura
Lineage: Eukaryota; Metazoa; Porifera; Demospongiae; Tetractinellida; Theonellidae
Description: SSU rRNA
Rfam family: Eukaryotic small subunit ribosomal RNA
Source: RNAcentral